UGAAGCAGCCCCGCGAGGGUGAGCAAACCACAGAAACGGCGUCCCAGUUCGGAUUGCAGCCUGCAACUCGGCUGCAUGAAGCUGGAAUCGCUAGUAAUCGCGGAUCAGAAUGCCGCGGUGAAUACGUUCCCGGGUCUUGUACACACCGCCCGUCACACCAUGGGAGUCGGGAAUGCCCGAAGUCAGUGACCCAACCGAAAGGGGGGAGCUGCCGAAGGCAGGCCUGGUAACUGGGGUGAAGUCGUAACAAGGUAAC
Molecule: ribosomal RNA, 256 nt
Filed under: uncultured bacterium
Lineage: Bacteria
Description: partial 16S ribosomal RNA
Rfam family: Bacterial small subunit ribosomal RNA
Source: RNAcentral